GAGUUUGAUCCUGGCUCAGGACGAACGCUGGCGGCGUGCUUAACACAUGCAAGUCGAACGAUGAUCCGGUGCUUGCACCGGGGAUUAGUGGCGAACGGGUGAGUAACACGUGAGUAACCUGCCCUUGACUCUGGGAUAAGCCUGGGAAACCGGGUCUAAUACCGGAUAUGACCUGUUACCGCAUGGUGGCGGGUGGAAAGAUUUAUUGGUUUUGGAUGGACUCGCGGCCUAUCAGCUUGUUGGUGGGGUAAUGGCCUACCAAGGCGACGACGGGUAGCCGGCCUGAGAGGGUGACCGGCCACACUGGGACUGAGACACGGCCCAGACUCCUACGGGAGGCAGCAGUGGGGAAUAUUGCACAAUGGGCGCAAGCCUGAUGCAGCGACGCCGCGUGAGGGAUGACGGCCUUCGGGUUGUAAACCUCUUUCAGCAGGGAAGAAGCGGAAGUGACGGUACCUGCAGAAGAAGCGCCGGCUAACUACGUGCCAGCAGCCGCGGUAAUACGUAGGGCGCAAGCGUUGUCCGGAAUUAUUGGGCGUAAAGAGCUCGUAGGCGGUUUGUCGCGUCUGCUGUGAAAGCCCGGGGCUCAACCCCGGGUCUGCAGUGGGUACGGGCAGACUUGAGUGCAGUAGGGGAGACUGGAAUUCCUGGUGUAGCGGUGAAAUGCGCAGAUAUCAGGAGGAACACCGAUGGCGAAGGCAGGUCUCUGGGCUGUAACUGACGCUGAGGAGCGAAAGCAUGGGGAGCGAACAGGAUUAGAUACCCUGGUAGUCCAUGCCGUAAACGUUGGGCACUAGGUGUGGGGGACAUUCCACGUUUUCCGCGCCGUAGCUAACGCAUUAAGUGCCCCGCCUGGGGAGUACGGGCCGCAAGGCUAAAACUCAAAGGAAUUGACGA
Molecule: ribosomal RNA, 897 nt
Filed under: uncultured Arthrobacter sp.
Lineage: Bacteria; Bacillati; Actinomycetota; Actinomycetes; Micrococcales; Micrococcaceae
Description: bacterial SSU rRNA
Rfam family: Bacterial small subunit ribosomal RNA
Source: RNAcentral